GCCCCCGUGGCGCAGCGGUUAGCGCUGUUGUCUCCCAAUUUUCGGGUUCAACCCCCCAUUGGGGUCA
Non-coding RNA from Caenorhabditis brenneri, 67 nucleotides. NCBI's taxonomy places the organism in Eukaryota, Metazoa, Nematoda, Chromadorea, Rhabditida, Rhabditidae. The record is from the annotation of a GenBank genome assembly.